UACGUAGGGUGCGAGCGUUGUCCGGAAUUAUUGGGCGUAAAGAGCUCGUAGGCGGUGUGUCACGUCGGCCGUGAAAACCUGCAGCUUAACUGUGGGCGUGCGGUCGAUACGGGCAUCACUGGAGUUCGGCAGGGGAGACUGGAAUUCCUGGUGUAGCGGUGAAAUGCGCAGAUAUCAGGAGGAACACCGAUGGCGAAGGCACUUUACUGGGCUAUUACUAACACUCAGAGACGAAAGCUAGGGUAGCAAAUGGG
Molecule: ribosomal RNA, 254 nt
Filed under: uncultured bacterium
Lineage: Bacteria
Description: partial 16S ribosomal RNA
Rfam family: Bacterial small subunit ribosomal RNA
Source: RNAcentral